RNAcentral lists this microRNA precursor (153 nucleotides) under Amborella trichopoda. RNAcentral describes it as "MIR8565 microRNA precursor family". It matches the Rfam family "MIR8565 microRNA precursor family". The record is from Rfam by way of RNAcentral. Lineage: Eukaryota; Viridiplantae; Streptophyta; Magnoliopsida; Amborellales; Amborellaceae.
UCCACACCCAUGUGCGUAGGACCCUAAAGGAUCACUAUUAAAUUUGGCACAGGAAUCUAGAAAAGUUAUCACAUGGGUGUGGGACUUGACUUUUCUAGAUAUCUGCACCAAAUUUAAUGGUGAUCCUUUGGGUCUUAUGCACAUGGGUGUGGG